This 73-nucleotide transfer RNA is filed under the name Daphnia galeata. It matches the Rfam family "tRNA". From Rfam's summary of the family: Transfer RNA (tRNA) molecules are approximately 80 nucleotides in length. Lineage: Eukaryota; Metazoa; Arthropoda; Branchiopoda; Diplostraca; Daphniidae. The record is from Rfam by way of RNAcentral.
UCCAUAAUAAUAUAGUGGUGAAUAUUCCCGCCUGUCACGCGGGAGAACCAGGGUUCAAUUCCCCGUCAGGGAG